GAGACAUUAGUAAAACACGUAAAUUACAUCACCUUGUCAAGGUGAAAUUACAGGUUAGACCCCUGUAUGUCUUA
This 74-nucleotide transfer RNA is filed under the name Macrhybopsis hyostoma (shoal chub). RNAcentral's name for it is "tRNA-Asp". It matches the Rfam family "tRNA". From Rfam's summary of the family: Transfer RNA (tRNA) molecules are approximately 80 nucleotides in length. Their secondary structure includes four short double-helical elements and three loops (D, anti-codon, and T loops). Further hydrogen bonds mediate the characteristic L-shaped molecular structure. tRNAs have two regions of fundamental functional importance: the anti-codon, which is responsible for specific mRNA codon recognition, and the 3' end, to which the tRNAs corresponding amino acid is attached (by aminoacyl-tRNA synthetases). tRNAs cope with the degeneracy of the genetic code in two manners: having more than one tRNA (with a specific anti-codon) for a particular amino acid; and 'wobble' base-pairing, i.e. permitting non-standard base-pairing at the 3rd anti-codon position. Lineage: Eukaryota; Metazoa; Chordata; Actinopteri; Cypriniformes; Leuciscidae. The record is from RNAcentral.